AUACGGAGGGGGCUAGCGUUGUUCGGAAUUACUGGGCGUAAAGCGCGCGUAGGCGGAUUGUUAAGUCGGGGGUGAAAUCCCGGGGCUCAACCCCGGAACUGCCUCUGAUACUGGCAAUCUUGAGUUCGAGAGAGGUGAGUGGAAUUCCGAGUGUAGAGGUGAAAUUCGUAGAUAUUCGGAGGAACACCAGUGGCGAAGGCGGCUCACUGGCUCGAUACUGACGCUGAGGUGCGAAAGCGUGGGGAGCAAACAGGAUUAGAAACCCCAGUAGUCC
RNAcentral lists this ribosomal RNA (274 nucleotides) under uncultured bacterium. RNAcentral describes it as "partial 16S ribosomal RNA". It matches the Rfam family "Bacterial small subunit ribosomal RNA", at positions 523 to 796 of the family's 1533-position model. The record is from RNAcentral.